This 550-nucleotide ribosomal RNA is filed under the name uncultured bacterium. Its description in RNAcentral is "bacterial SSU rRNA". It matches the Rfam family "Bacterial small subunit ribosomal RNA", at positions 355 to 894 of the family's 1533-position model. The record is from RNAcentral.
UAGGGAAUCUUCGGCAAUGGACGGAAGUACUGACCGAGCAACGCCGCGUGAGUGAAGAAGGUUUUUCGGAUCGUAAAGCUCUGUUGUAAGAGAAGAACGAGUGUGAGAGUGGAAAGUUCACACUGUGACGGUAUCUUACCAGAAAGGGACGGCUAACUACGUGCCAGCAGCCGCGGUAAUACGUAGGUCCCGAGCGUUGUCCGGAUUUAUUGGGCGUAAAGCGAGCGCAGGCGGUUAGAUAAGUCUGAAGUUAAAGGCUGUGGCUUAACCAUAGUACGCUUUGGAAACUGUUUAACUUGAGUGCAAGAGGGGAGAGUGGAAUUCCAUGUGUAGCGGUGAAAUGCGUAGAUAUAUGGAGGAACACCGGUGGCGAAAGCGGCUCUCUGGCUUGUAACUGACGCUGAGGCUCGAAAGCGUGGGGAGCAAACAGGAUUAGAUACCCUGGUAGUCCACGCCGUAAACGAUGAGUGCUAGGUGUUAGACCCUUUCCGGGGUUUAGUGCCGUAGCUAACGCAGUAAGCACUCCGCCUGGGGAGUACGACCGCAAGGU